RNAcentral lists this ribosomal RNA (253 nucleotides) under uncultured bacterium. RNAcentral describes it as "partial 16S ribosomal RNA". It matches the Rfam family "Bacterial small subunit ribosomal RNA", at positions 524 to 776 of the family's 1533-position model. The record is from RNAcentral.
UACGUAGGUCUCGAGCGUUAUCCGGAAUUACUGGGCGUAAAGCGUCUGUAGCCGGAUGUAUAAGUCUGUCUUUAAAGACUCUGAUUCAAUCGGAGGAAAGGGAUAGAUACUGUAUAUCUAGAGAAUUUUGGGGGUUAGUGGAAUUUCCGGUGGAGCGGUGAAAUGCGUUGAUAUCGGAAGGAAUGCCAAAAGCGAAAGCAGCUAACUACGAAACUUCUGACGGUCAGAGACGACAGCUUGGGGAGCAAACGGG